CCUACGGGUGGCAGCAGUGAGGAAUAUUGGUCAAUGGGCGCAAGCCUGAACCAGCCAAGUAGCGUGAAGGAUGACUGCCCUACGGGUUGUAAACUUCUUUUAUAAAGGAAUAAAGUGUGACACGUGUGCCUUUUUGUAUGUACUUUAUGAAUAAGGAUCGGCUAACUCCGUGCCAGCAGCCGCGGUAAUACGGAGGAUCCGAGCGUUAUCUGGAUUUAUUGGGAUUAAAGGGAGCGUAGAUGGGUUGUUAAGUCAGUUGUGAAAGUUUGCGGCUCAACCGUAAAAUUGCAUUUGAUACUGGCAGUCUUGAGUACAGUUGAGGUAGGCGGAAUUCGUGGUGUAGCGGUGAAAUGCUUAGAGAUCACGAAGAACACCGAUUGCGAAGGCAGCUUACUAAACUGCCACUGACGUUGAUGCUCGAAAGUGUGGGUAGCAAACAGGAUUAGAUACCCCGGUAGUC
This 460-nucleotide ribosomal RNA is filed under the name uncultured bacterium. RNAcentral's name for it is "partial 16S ribosomal RNA". It matches the Rfam family "Bacterial small subunit ribosomal RNA", at positions 338 to 795 of the family's 1533-position model. The record is from RNAcentral.